RNAcentral lists this ribosomal RNA (253 nucleotides) under uncultured bacterium. Its description in RNAcentral is "partial 16S ribosomal RNA". It matches the Rfam family "Bacterial small subunit ribosomal RNA", at positions 524 to 776 of the family's 1533-position model. The record is from RNAcentral.
UACGAAGGGGGCUAGCGUUGCUCGGAAUCACUGGGCGUAAAGCGCACGUAGGCGGAUUGUUAAGUCAGGGGUGAAAUCCUGGAGCUCAACUCCAGAACUGCCUUUGAUACUGGCAAUCUCGAGUCCGGGAGAGGUGAGUGGAACUGCGAGUGUAGAGGUGAAAUUCGUAGAUAUUCGCAAGAACACCAGUGGCGAAGGCGGCUCACUGGCCCGAUACUGACGCUGAGGCACGAAAGCGUGGGGAGCAAACAGG